UGGCCGGUCCAUGAUGUCAUUGUGAUGUUUCUUUGUUAUUGCCAGCGUGCUGUGGGCUUUGUUUAGCCGCCUUUGUGCUCUGCAGCUACGCGAGGUGUGGGGGCCCCUGGAAUGAGAAGGCAUGUUUAAGCAGACAGGGGGAGAAAAGGUCUUAAGUCAGGCUUUGAAGUCCCAUUUGGAAAGCCCAGUGAGGACUGCUUUCACAUGGGCCAGCCAGAGCCCCACCAUUCAGAGAGAAUUUGUAAGGGACUUCAGGUCCAAGAACUCAGACAAAGAUUUCUUGUUUCUAUAACCUGCCUCCUGGAAGCUUCUGAAGGGCUGUUAGUGGAACCUGAGGUGGGCAGCAGUAACAAGUGGUGAUUGAUAUCAGGCAGCUGUUCACUUUGCCUAGUUCUGAUCCAAAGUCUACUUCCAACUGAAAGGAAAAAGAAAAAGAAUUACCAAAGUCCAGUGGUAAAACAGAGUUCAGGAUGACUGGCAAUGUCCUGGAAUGAAGGGAUGACCUUGGCAUCUCUGUUUAACCAAGCUCUAGGCACUCCACAGUGCCCAUUUCAGCUGACUCCAUGGCCACUGGGACAAAUUAUUCUCAUUUGCCCAUUCCACUGGGGUGAGAGUUGAGUGCCAGGAGGAUACCAGGAGUGAACAAGCAGUGAGUACAACUGGACAGUAAAACAGUGUUCAGCUUCUUUCCAUCAAGUUCUGUCCAAGAAGUCCCCCUUUUCUCUAGGAGGAGAUGUUCAGGAUAUCCUCCUUCUAUUUGGAACCUCCUCUCUUAGAACUUCCACCAUCCAAGAACUCCUGAGAGCUUCUGCAAUCAAUUUUUUUUCAGCUGCCAUCUUUACGGCUGAGGUGGAUCCACCACUAAAGGAAUUCCUUUGUAGCUAUGGAGGAGGCAUUUCAAAGUUGCAAACAAUGUCCUCAUCCUUUAAACUUGUUAGAUUGCCUUAGUUGACUCCUGAUCAUAGUCUUUACACCUAAAGAGAGACAAAGAGUGAUAGCUAA
Long non-coding RNA from Monodelphis domestica (gray short-tailed opossum), 1002 nucleotides. RefSeq lists it as uncharacterized. Lineage: Eukaryota; Metazoa; Chordata; Mammalia; Didelphimorphia; Didelphidae. The record is from RefSeq and is a predicted model, not a curated record.